RNAcentral lists this ribosomal RNA (792 nucleotides) under uncultured Alphaproteobacteria bacterium. RNAcentral's name for it is "bacterial SSU rRNA". It matches the Rfam family "Bacterial small subunit ribosomal RNA", at positions 1 to 845 of the family's 1533-position model. The record is from RNAcentral. Lineage: Bacteria; Pseudomonadati; Pseudomonadota; Alphaproteobacteria.
CUUAGAGUUUGAUCCUGGCUCAGAACGAACGCUGGCGGCAUGCCUAACACAUGCAAGUCGAACGAAGCCUUCGGGCUUAGUGGCGCACGGGUGCGUAACGCGUGGGAACCUGCCUUUAGGUUCGGAAUAACUCAGAGAAAUUUGAGCUAAUACCGGAUAAUGUCUUCGGACCAAAGAUUUAUCGCCUUUAGAUGGGCCCGCGUUAGAUUAGAUAGUUGGUGGGGUAAUGGCCUACCAAGUCGACGAUCUAUAGCUGGUCUGAGAGGAUGAUCAGCCACACUGGGACUGAGACACGGCCCAGACUCCUACGGGAGGCAGCAGUGGGGAAUAUUGGACAAUGGGCGAAAGCCUGAUCCAGCAAUGCCGCGUGAGUGAUGAAGGCCUUAGGGUUGUAAAGCUCUUUUACCAGGGAUGAUAAUGACAGUACCUGGAGAAUAAGCUCCGGCUAACUCCGUGCCAGCAGCCGCGGUAAUACGGAGGGAGCUAGCGUUGUUCGGAAUUACUGGGCGUAAAGCGCGCGUAGGCGGCUUUUUAAGUCAGGGGUGAAAUCCCGGGGCUCAACCCCGGAACUGCCCUUGAAACUGGAUGGCUAGAAUACUGGAGAGGUGAGUGGAAUUCCGAGUGUAGAGGUGAAAUUCGUAGAUAUUCGGAAGAACACCAGUGGCGAAGGCGACUCACUGGACAGUUAUUGACGCUGAGGUGCGAAAGCGUGNGNAGCAAACAGGAUNAGAUACCCUGGUAGNCCACGCCGUAAACGAUGAUAACUAGCUGUCGGGCUCAUAGAGCUUGGUG